UACGGAGGGUGCGAGCGUUGUCCGGAAUCACUGGGCGUAAAGGGCGCGUAGGCGGCGCGGAUAGUCGGCGGUGAAAGCCCGGAGCUCAACUCCGGGUCGGCCGUCGAUACUUCCGGGCUUGAGCACUGUAGAGGCAGAUGGAAUUCCGGGUGUAGCGGUGGAAUGCGUAGAGAUCCGGAAGAACACCGGUGGCGAAGGCGGUCUGCGUGGG
This 211-nucleotide ribosomal RNA is filed under the name uncultured bacterium. Its description in RNAcentral is "partial 16S ribosomal RNA". It matches the Rfam family "Bacterial small subunit ribosomal RNA", at positions 524 to 733 of the family's 1533-position model. The record is from RNAcentral.